Molecule: long non-coding RNA, 820 nt
Filed under: Rattus norvegicus (Norway rat)
Lineage: Eukaryota; Metazoa; Chordata; Mammalia; Rodentia; Muridae
Description: long non-coding RNA NONRATT017001
Source: RNAcentral
GAUCUUAAGAGCUUUCUUGCUAAGUCCCAAACUCCAGUGUCUGGUUUUUCCAUGUUUCAAAUACUGCCUAUUUAGCCAAGGCAGCUCCUAUCACACCUUAGCUUUAUUCAGGCACCUGGACUUUCCAGUAUUGGUUUCCAAAGCCAUCAGCAUACUUGAUUCCUUGCUUCUAGCCAUCUUCCUGUGGAGGAACUACUUAUUGUCCUCUUCUGCUCUAUUCCCGCCCCUGCAUUGCCUUAUAGAUGACACCAGGUAAGAAAAACUACAAAAAACAGGGCCAUUCUUAGUCCCCUAGAACUAAUACUCAGUACUACAGGUACCAGGUUGCAUCUAUAUAAAACUUUAUUUCAUCUUCUUGCUCUCCAGCAGACCUUAACAGUUACAGCGCUGUAGCUGAGUUUUAAAUAUUGUUUUUUUCAUUCAGCUAUUUGCCCAACAUUUACUUACUACCUUAAUGUGUUUUUUUUUUUCCUUGCUGAGCACUAAAGAGGGUACCAAAACUUCAAGAGUAUUUUGAAGGAACUACAGGAUGAUGAUAUUACAAGUGUACGUCACCACAACCAGUUUACAAACACACUUUUUGAAGCACACUUUUGAAGAUGACUAGAGGAUUAUUUCCAUUUGACAACAGUACUAGUUAAAAAAAUCAAUGUUUAAUACAAAACUAUGAACACUACUUAGUGAAUGCUAACAUAAAAGUGUUCUAUUCUAAAAAAUUGUUCCCUUGAGAUAGAGAGAUGGCCCAGUGUGUAAAAGAAAGUAUGAAUGACCUGAGUUUGAAUCCCUAGUAUCCAGAUUAAAAACAAAACAAAACAAAAAC